Brassica rapa (field mustard) is the source of this 9051-nucleotide long non-coding RNA. RefSeq lists it as uncharacterized. The record is from RefSeq and is a predicted model, not a curated record. NCBI's taxonomy places the organism in Eukaryota, Viridiplantae, Streptophyta, Magnoliopsida, Brassicales, Brassicaceae.
UAAAAUAUAGUCACACUAGUAAUGAUUAUGUCAAAGAUACAUUAACAUUCUUAGUCAAAGGUUAUAUCAAACCAUCACUAAUUUUUAGGAUAUUCAUGACUUUAGAAUGGACGGACAUAUCUUCCUCUUGAUUAAUAUACAAACAAAUAUCACGAGAACAAAAUCUACUAAUAAUAAAUGUUUUAUUUACAAUUUUUGAACUGCGGUACAGGUAUUUCCUUCUCUUUUUAAUCCACCCAACUGUUAUAAUUUUCAAAAUGAUUAAAUUGUUACGUCGUGAGUGAAUUUGAACUAGUCAAAAAAAAAGUUAUACAAAUAUCUUUGAAAAGUAAUUGGACAUUAUAUUUUCAAGAUACUAUGCAACAACCUUACAGAAUUACCAUAUACACUAGUCAAAUUUUAAUAAUUUUCUAGGUAUUUAUUAAGUUUUUGCACGAUUUGACUGUAUUUUAAGAGAAUACUACUCCAUGUCUUAAGUAGAAAUGAUAAUGCAAAUCUAUGAUGUUGAUUGCUAUUGUCGAAUAAAAGAGUAUAAAAAUGAUUACCCCAUCUUAAUGGCCUUAAAAGGCCAAGAGUCACGCUUGUUGCACUCUUUUAAACCUUUACUUUUUCACUUUUUGUUUUGUUUAUAAUCUUACGAAACUUUUUUUAAGCAUUACUUAUCAAGUUAACUAAUGAAAGCCAAAUAAAACGGUUGCAUUGAAUUCAAACUUCUUUUGUGAGAAAAGAAAGUAAUGAAUUCAAACCUCUUUCAGAUUUUCUGUUCUAACGCAUGAGUCGACCGCAUGAAUUUUGUCGUUGAACUACUUAAUGACCAAAACAGUACUCUAGACUACGAAAUAAAAUAAUGGUAAGCCUUAUUGAUAAAUAUAAUGAUGUUGGUGAUGAUGAGAGAGUCAUCAUAUGCCAUAAAUGUUUGUCUAUGUGGUAGUCAUGAUCUUAAUUAAUUAAAAACAAGUAUUUGUGGUUGAAAUCCAAGAAAUUAUUUAUCAAAAUAUGCAGAUAAAAUAAUCUAUUUAUAUUUGAAAAUUACUUUUAAACUAUUUUACAAAUAUAAUACUAACUAUUUACUUUUAGUAAUUUUUUAUUUAUGCUUAUUUUUGUUUUAAUUUAUAUAACAACGUCACUUUCAUGUUUAUAUCAAAAUCUAUGUCAUCAACUCAUUUUAUAAAAAGUAACGGAUUAACUAAAAAUAUAAAAUGUUAAGAUUUUAAAUACAAACGAAAAUUAAAAUAAUUUUUCAAUACAUAUUGUAUUGAAAACUGAAAUAUUUUAUUUUAAAUGUAGCAAUUUAUUAUAACAUUAAUAUUAAACGUGGUCUCAAAUCUCAAAUCAAAUUUUACUAUUGCACUGUAUAUUGACCAUGGUUAGACGCCGUAAUGAAAAAUCAUUUUAAAAUGAAGUUGUUACUUGUGAAAUUAUACAAGUAUUUAAAAUCUUUUUAACAAUUUUAUAAUGGCACAGUUAUAUUUUGUUAUCAUAGUCAUAGAGGUCGACUAAUCAACGUCAAAAUAGGUUCCCUUAAUUAGUUGCACCAAGAUUUUUCUUCCCUUAAAAUCCUUAAAGGUAAAUCAAUUCAGCAUUAACAGUGAGGGUCCCAAUGACAAGCUAAAAGAAGAGAUGGAUCAUAAAAACUGAAAAAGAAUUGGACGGUCACGAUUGGACACCGAGAAAUAAAAGUCGAGAAGAAAUCAUACGGUUCAGAAACGUUUUCAAUGUUGGCCCCCACUUAAUCCAGCUAUAUGCUAUGACAACCAUCAAAUAUGAAUUGGAUCGAUAUGAUUGGAAUCAGACACACAUAUCUUUUCGUCGAUAUGAUUUUCAUAAUCAAUGUGGGUCCAUUUCAUAGUCGUUUUUUGUAUGUGCAACUACAAUGGUCACAUACGAGCCAGAUUUUGAAAAGAAGCUUCAAUUUUUUAAAAAAAUUCUUGGGAAAGAUGUGUGUUUAAGUAAAUAAACGUUUUUUUCUUGUUUGAGAAAAAUAACAUUAAAAAUAACGAAAAUAACAUUUUCGUUUAGUGUUAAAUAAAGAUUUUAAAAUUAGCCUUUAUUAUUACUAAUAAAUACGGAAUAAAAUUUUGUUUACGUGGAGGACAAAAAAAUUGUAUUUUUGGCAUGAGAGACAGAAAUAAAACUUGUUUGCCAUAUUUUUAUUUCAAAUUUUUUAUUAAUUAGGUUUUUUUGCUCGUAGCAAAACUGAUUUUAAUAUUUGAAAAAAUCUAUUUGAAUUUUGAAUGUUUCGGUUAAAGUUUUGGACCAAAGAUAUGAAUUUGUUACACCUACAUAUUCAAUUUACUAUGGAUACACGGUGAAUGGACAAAUCUUUAUUAUAUCGAUUUCCUAGCGAUCUAAAUUUGCGAAUAUUUUCACCAACAAAUUGUUCACCUCUUAAAUAAAUUUAAUGAUUCGACAAAAUCUGCAUAUUUGAUGCUCAAUUAAAUUUUUUUGAAGACAACCACCACAGAAGUGUGUGGUUUAGAUAAGAUCUUGUAUUUGAUAAACACAUAAUUGUGGCAUGUUUAGGAUUCUGUUUUUGUGAACACAAAUUGUUUUAGGUAUCAAUAUUUGAUUUUAGAUCUAUUUAUUUCCUUGUUGAUGUUAAUUUCCAUCGACAAGAUGGAUGAUUCUACAUUCUGAAGGCCAAUAAUCAUUCAACAAAAUAAUGUUUGCCCCAUAAAAACAUGAUGGCUUUUUAUAGGCUAUCCAUUACAUAAACAAAAAAAAUGAUGACAAAUUUGACAAUGCCAUUGUAUGAUAACAUUUGUAAUAAUAUGACAAUGAAUUGUAAGAUACAUUUUCAAUAACAUUAUAAUAAGAUACAUUAUAAUAAGUACAUAUUUGCUUCUCAAAUUAAACCCAAAUUAUUUUUAUAUUUAACAAUAGGUAGAUAUACUUUCCACUUUUGAAAAAAUGUUGCGGCUUAUAUUUAAAAAUAAAUCUAAAGAUUGACCGCAUAUUUGUGCGGAUGUUGAAUUUUUUUUUAUAAAUUGAUAUUUAUUUUUCAUAACUAGUAUUAUAUAUUUUAUAUGUGUCACCAUAUAACUAAUCGCAUAUUCGUUAUUUGAAUAAUUUUAGAUACAUCAUAAUCGAACGCGAAUCGAACCGAAUAAUAUGAUUACUUUUGGUUACUUUUAUUUUUAAUACAAAAUAACCGAAUCCAUUUUGAAUACAUUGGUUAUUUGAAGAAAAAAUCUAAAUGCUUAUACAUCAGAACCGAAUCCAACCGGACUUGAGAAGGUCCGACUCGAAACCCAUCAAAAAAAUUUAUAAUACCCUAAAGGAGCCUAAUUUCAAUACUCAAAACUAGAUAUCCGGAAUAUGACUUGUACCGAAGCAUAUAUCCAAAUACCCAUGCAUAACCAAUUCUGUAAGAGAUUAUUUAAAAGAAUAACAAAUAUUUCUAAACCGUUUUGAAUUUUUGUCACAAAAUAGAGCAAUUUCAUUCGGACAUGUCAAAUUAUUAUGGUUAAAAUGAAAAAUGUAAGACCCGAUCCCGGACACUCGUCCGACUUGGACCUCACACGACCGAGCCAUAGGCGACCGGUCCGGUUUGAUUCAUUUUAAGUUCUUAUCCAGUUUAAGUUUAAUGUCCAAGUAAGGUUCUAACCAGGGAUUCUCUAACUGAUAAAUCAAUACUCUGAAGCAACAAAAAGUCUUAAGUCCGCUCUGUAAGGUUUAAUGUCCAAGUAAGGUUCUCCAUUUGUUGAGGCAUACAAUAAUAGAUUCUGGAUGUGUUAAUUCUAGAAGUAUCUUAAAAAAAAUUAUACCAGUAAAAAGGCUAGUUAAUAAAAUCAGGUUUUAAGAUUUCUACAAAUAUGGAUCUAAAAAAUUGUAAAUUUAUUCAUACCUAAUUAAUCAAUAUACAAAUAAUAAACGAGUAUUUGCUUCAAUUCGCUAAUUUUACUCUUUAAUUUAUUUGCUUUCUUCAAGUUAGUUCUCGUUCGUUCAUAGCAGAAUGAUGCUAACUAUUCAUUUCAAGGUUGUUCAUGCAUUCCCAUAUAAUGAUCACUCUCAUAGCUACAUGGACAUGGUCGUACACUCAAAUUUUCUAUUCCAAAGAUAGUUGAAAGCAAUUAUUAAUAUAGUUAUAUGUUAAUUCAAGAAAUGUAUUAAAUCUCUACGUACCAAUAUACUCGAUUUGCUGAGGCGAAUAAUAAUAGAGUUUGGAUGUGUUAAUCCUAGAAUUGUCUUAAAUCUCUGUGUAUUAGUAAUAAAAAAAGACGGAUUUUGAAACUGCCAUAAAUCUGAGUCUAAAAUAUUAUAAAUUUAUAUAUUCACAUAAUCAAUAUACAAACCCUAAAUGUAUAUUUGUUUCAAUUUGUUUUGCUCUUAAGUUUGUUUGAUUUAUUCAUGUUAGUUUCAUUCAUAAGAAAAUGAUGUUAUCUACUCAUUUCAAGGUUGCUCAGACAUUCCUGUUUAGCGGCCACUCCCAUAGCUACAUACAUGGACAUGGACGUACUCAAAUUUUCUCUUCCAAGAGUGAUUGAAAGCAGUUGUCAACUCGUGUUUGAACCGAUGUGGUACGAUUCAAAGAGUGCGAACCUCAUUUCUCUCUUGUAAUAUGAAGGGCCGACGAGAUUUCCUCAAACUAUCAUAUAGCAUCAGAUGUCUCCCAAACUACGAUCUCGUUCUAUUUAUCCCUGAAUAUAAAGUUUCAAUCUUUGUUAAAUUUUCAUACUUAUAUCCCCACGUAUAUAAAGUUCGAAAUCAAAGUGCCCAUAGAAGAUAGUUUAAAUUGGCAUAUUGGUUUAAACCAAACUGUAAAUCAUUUCAAACCGUACUUAACCAAAUUUAAACCCGAUUAAAACCCAAAAUUUUAUAUAAAACCAAAAAACCACCCGAUUUAGAACCAGGCCCAAUUAAAUUAUUAAACGAUGACCAACUAAUUUAAUUGUUCUAUCACAAACAAAUUCAUUAAUAUAACCAAAUUUGUGUUUAAAAAUUAAACAAAUCCAUUAAAUGAUUUUGUUUCUUCUUCCUCGUGCAGGGUAGAUAUGAUUUAAGGUUUGUUUUAAACCAAAUAUGAGUUUAGAUAUGAGUUUAGUUUCUUUGAAAAACCCAAAAAACCUAGACCAAACAUCAUGUCACUCUUGACUUGAGACUGAAACUAAACUCAUAUUUGGUUGAAAAACCCAUAAAUCCAUUUAUUGUUCAUCAUCUCUUUUGUUUGGAGUCAUAAAAAAAAUCUCUUUCGUUUGGAAAGCAACCAAAUAUCAAUUGCCAUUGUAAUAUUUUAAUUGUUAUUGUGUGAAGAGUCUAUAGCAGAUAAAGCUUGAAACUUUUUUCAGAAACAAAACAUCUUCGCCAAUUAAAAAAAAGGUCUAGACUAUACACGUCUAUUGAUCAAAAACAGAAAAAAAAAAAACAGAGAUAUGAAUUGUUUCAUUUAUAAGCACUGUUCAUCAUAUUAUUUUCGUUUGGAAAGCAACCAAUUCGUGUUACUUUUCAUCGUCACUUUCGAAUACUGUUCAUUGUUGAGUCAUGAAUAUUGUUUUAACACAAAGAAAGGGUUUUAGGGUUCUUAGUAAUUUCAAAUAAAUUGUUUUGGCGAUUUUAGUUUUGUGGGAUUUACUAAAAAUGUAUUUUUGGGUUGGGUUUUAUAUCUGGUCAGGUUUUAUUUUAUCUAGGGUAAGAUUUGGUUCUGUUUGGUUUACUAUUCUGAAUUUAAGAUUUUUAAUUAGGUUUGACAAAACCGACAUAUUUGGGGAAAUAAAGUCACAAUUUUAUAUUCGGAGAUAAAUAGAACGGAGUCAUAAUUUGGAAGACAUAUAAUGCUAUUUGAUAGUUAUUGUGGAGAAAGUUUGAUUGACGAGUUAUUGUGGAAGACAAAGUUUGAUUGACGAGUUAUUGUGGAAAAAUAACUCGUCCACCCUAAUAGAAAUUGCAAUACUUGCAUGUUAACCAAUAAAAGAUAGAGGAUGAUUGGUAGCUGCUCUAGGUUCUGUAGACAGCUACAAAUAUUUCACAGCCAUAAAAAUUUGUCAAUCAAACUUUGCUUUAUUUUUUUAAAACCUACAGCUGAAUUUCUUUUCUUUAUUUAUUUUUGCUGUAGACAACACUUUAUCAACAGUUUAGAAACGAAACUUUAGAAAAUUUUAAGAGUUCUGUGAGUUUUAUAACAUAUAAUUAAUGUUUAUUAAUUAGAUUUUCUUUUAAGAAAGCAAACCGAAAAUUCUACAGCCACAAUAAAAUUAUACAGCUUAAAUUCUAUAGUAAAAAAAUAAAAGCUACAGACUUAACCAAUCAAACCCAUAAGCUCUGAGGUUGUUUUUUCCACUUGUGUCAUCUUCUCUAGUGGAAAUGGAAACCAUAGUUGCCUAUUAUUACUUUUAAUUAUAUUUACUGAUUUACGGAAACUACAUGUUACUCAGUAUUUCUCUGUUUGAUUCAGAGUUGUAGAUCUUAAAAUGACUGGAUUUUAGUUAGAAAAAUUGUUUAGAAAGAAUCAAAAAAAUAGAGGUGGAGUUCACGUGAGGAUGCAGAAAACAAUGGGGACAUUCUUAGAAAAACAGGAGUAAACAUUAAAAAAAAAAUUCAAAAAAGAAAACAUUAGAAUUGUAUUUAUUGUAAAAAAUAUAUUAUAGAAAGGUGUAAUGUAAUUUAUAAAUAGAACAUCAGAUAUCUAGUACUGGUAUCACAUUAAGCGGAAAAAGGGGAAGAGAAGAAGAAAUAAAAAAGAAAGUCACGUGGACCCAACAUGAUAUGAGCCAGUGAGAGGCCUCGAACCACGUGACGUUCACACACGCUAGUGUCGAAUUGUCGGUUCACGCGCUGACAGAAGAAGUCAUGACAAUCAUACGAUACUGCUUGUUCGUCCCUAAAAACAGGAUAGUCCAUGACCAUUCCCCAUCAUGAGCCUCUCUUCUUCUUUUUUAAUCCUAUUUCGUGUUUUGCCCAUUUAAUAAUAGUACUGCGUAAUGACUAAAGCAUGGCCUCCGUUAAUGGGGAAAACGGCUUAUUCAUGCCCGAACUAGGGAUUGUUGAGAAAAUACAUACCUCAACUUUUACUGCAAGUCAAAACAUACCUACACUAAUCAACAAUUUAAAAUUCAUGCCUGAAUUAUGGAUCGAUAAAAAAAUACAUACCCCAACUCUUAUUGCAUGCCAAAACAUACCUUAACUAAUCAAAAAUUUGAAAUUUAUGCCUAGUCUUUAGAAGUCAACGCCAAUUUCAAUCUAUACUAUUAUUUGCGAAGUAAAUUUUCGCAACGGAGCUCUCCCGUUAAAAAUUAGAGUAGCUAAAAUCUAUGUUACCCCUAAUAAAUUUUUAUAUAUAUUCUAUUAUAUAAUAAAAUGAAUUUUAUUUGCGAAGUAAUUUUUCGCAACAGAGCUCUCACGUUAAAAAUUAGAUUGACUAAAUUCUAUGUUACCCUUAAUGAAUUUUUAAAUAAAAUGAAUUUUAUUUUAAAAAUCUUAUAUAUUUUUUAAAAAUAAUUAUGAUGAUUCUUAUAUAUUAUGUUGUUAUCUUAAAAUAAUAUUUUACUAUUAUAAAAGUAAAAAAAUUAAAAGAAGUUAUUUUUUACAAUAUUAUAUUUAAAAAAAAAGAUAAUUCUUAUAUAUACAAAUAUAUCUUAAAAUCACUUCUUAGAAAAUAUCCUUAUACAAAUAUAUUGCUCCAUUAAUAUUUACUUAGAUAUUAUUUUAUCUUAAAUUUUAACUUUCAAAAUAGUAAAAUAUUAUUUCAAGAUAACAACACAAUAUAUAAGAAUUAUCAUAUAUUUUUAAGAAAAUAUAAUAUUGCAAAAAUCAUGUCUCUUAAUUUUUUUUACUUUUACAAUAGUAAACUAUUAUUUUAAGAUAACAACACAAUAUAUAAGAAUCAUCAUAAUUUUUUAAAAAUAUAUAAGAUUUUUAAUAUAAUUUUUUUAUUAUUAUAUAAUAGAAUAUAUAUAAAAAUUCAUUAAGGAUAACAUAAACUUUAGCCACUCUGUUUUUUAACGUGAGAGCUCCGUUGCUAUAAAAUUAUUUCAAAAAUAAUAGUAUAGAUUGAAAUUAGCGUUGACUUCUAAAGACUAGGCAUAAAUUUCAAAUUUUUGAUUAGUUAAGGUAUGUUUUGGCAUGCAAUAAGAGUUGGGAUAUGUAUUUUUUUAUCAACCCAUAGUUCAGGCAUGAAUUUUAAAUUUUUGAUUAGUGUAGGUAUGUUUCGACUUGCAGUAAAAGUUGAGGUAUGUAUUCUCUCAGCAACCCCUAGUUCGGGCAUGAAUAUGCCGUUUUCCCUCCGUUAAUGAUACAGGUUCGAUCCUACACAGUUCCACGUACACUUUCGGCUUGAUUGGAAACAAUUUUAUUGUGUUUUUUAACCAAAAAAGCUUUCAUAUUUUAAAAAUUGAGGUUUUUUUUCUUACCAAAAAAAAAAUUGAGGUUUUUUAUUUUUAUUAUAACAGCUGAGAAAAUGAAUUAAAAAAAACCGAACCCAUUAACCAAUUUACAAAAACCGAUCCAACUCUAACCCUAGUAAACGACAAACAACAGAACAAAAUAGAAGAUCAUUUGCCAAACAAGCUCACCGGAGGCAAACUGAAGAGAGGCUAUAUCGGCUAAACCGCCAAUUCUAGGAGCCGAGCCGAAACAGAGGAGUUGCUUUCGUUUGGAGACGAAAACCAAAGAAAAAGAGCAAAGGUGAGAAACCACCACUACCAUACACUACAAGAAAUAUGUAUAUUCUUAACGCGGAAAAUAUGUUAUAGUAGGUGUUUCAUAACGAAUUCAUAAAUGCUAUGUUAUCGGUAGCCAUUAUAGGUUCUCUAUGAUAACAUUUUUUUAAACGGCACGAAAUAUGUAGAUAUGAUAGUAAUAUUUGAAUGUUAUUAUUAAUUUAAUUAUAACACUACUUUUGUACUAUGAUAGGUCAUUCUACAAUAAAUAAUAAUAAUUCUAAUUUAAAAUAAAAUAAAAUAAUUGAAAUUUAAACCGGAAAUUGUUUUAUAAUUAAAAAUAAAAUAAAUAUUAUUUUAUAAAUUAAAAUUGGUUUACAAAUAAAUUUCGAUUUACAAAACUAAAUCAGAAAUUAAAAAUAAAGUCAAACCACCACAAUUCUAAGUCGAUUUACAC